GCUGCAGCUAAAACCAGUCCAAUGCAACAGACGUUUCAAAAACAGCAGCAGAAAAAUGAUGACCUAACUGAAUGGAACAAGAAGGCACGUAUUUUCAAGAAGACAUCUCUAUUCUUAGAGUAGAAAUUUCCCUUCAAGAUGACAAGUGGUUCAAACCCUUCAGGAUCUUACUUGCCCUCAAAAGUAAGGUGAGCCUUGAACAGAUGCCAAGUGGUAACUAUCCAGAAGGGAAAGGAGAGUCUCUAUUAUUAACCUAGGCUAAAGACAGAUAUUAUUCUUCCCACAGAUGUUCCAAAAUAGAUGACAACUACUUGAAGGAAUUGAAUGAGGACUUAAAGCUAAGGAAGCAGGAACUGCUAGAGAUCCUAAAACCUCUUGAAGAUAAGAACAAUCUCUUAUUCCAGAAGUUGAUGUCUAACUUGGAAGAAAAACAGAGAAGGUAAGGGCUCCCUACUCAGGAUUUCCUAGAGGGGAAAAAGCUGGAGAACUUUAAUCCAUAGGAUUAACAAUGAUUAUUUACAUUUUUAAAAAGGUUUAGACAUUAAGCUAUAAUAGAUAAAGAAUUUGUAGCCACAAAUCAGUGGCAAGUAAUCUUUUAUUUACUUUUAGUAAAAUUACAUAUGACUCAGCCCUCAUCUCAAGGAGCUACAGCUAUCACCCUUCUUCCCUAGGAUGCCCACCCGAGGAACAGAGAAGAGCCUUUAGUAUCGUCAGUGUAUCAUGGUUACACUGAUAGCUCCUUAUACAUGUUUGUGGAAUCACUUUAGGGUAGAUGACUCUGCCCUUCCCAUGCAAAGCAGUGAAAUAGAAAAAUUUUCUGGGCCUAGGAGUCUUCUGGAGGUCUGGCCUCUUUAAUAUGCUAGGCAGAUAAGGUCUCAACUCUUAACUAGAGCACUCACUGUUCUUGGGACCCACCAACUUUGUUUCCUUUCCAGUCUCAAAGAAUCUCACCUUAAUGGAUCUAUCUUCAUUCUUUACCCUUACAGUAAGCAUCUCAGGGAGCCCCGACUUUUGGAGAGCAAAAGCCAGGCAGAAAGUUGUGAUCAAGCACCAGCUGCUUACAAUGCAGAAAUAAACGUCUCUCAGGGCAAGAGAACACAAAGGCUUGCUUCGCUGCUUAUAAUUAAGGAGGAAAAAGUACCAUAAACAUAAGCAUAAAUUAAUGUUUUUAAAGAAUAGAGAGUCUUUGACUCACUUGGUAUUGAUUCAGAUUUUGUUAGAAACUUCUUGAUGGCUUGGAUUCUCUGAGAGCUACCAUAAGGAUAUAAGUGGUUUCCCCAACUAACUCAAAUGUCUUUCACAUGGAGAAGCAAUACCAACAGAGAUGGGGUAGGACAUAAUUCUUGGAUUUAUGCUGAAGUCAACAGAUUCUAUGAACUCCUUCUUCACAGGGGCAAAACACCCUUUCUACUCAAAAGCCAUACACCAAAAUAUUUUUCUGAAGGAGUAAAGAAGAGUCUCACUGGCUGUUGGAGGCCUAAGUUUUGAGCAUUGUUGAACACAGAAUUCAUUUUAGAGCACAUAGCUGAGGCAAAUGUCAAUUGGGAAUAAAAUCAUCCUAUAGAGAGCUACUAUGUCCAGAAGGAAUUCUGUAAUUCCUAUGACUUUGGCACCCAUCUCUCUCCCUUGACAGAACGCUUUCUGACUGCUUGCAGAGUAUUAAUACUACCCUUUAGGAAGUAUUAUGUUUUGUGACGUCUUUUCAUUCUAGUCUACAGAUCAUGAGGCAGAUCAUGGCAGGAAAGGGGAGUGAAGAAUCCUCAGUCAUGGAGCUCAUUAAGGAAGCAGAGGACAUGAAGCAGAAUCUGGUAAGAGGUUGGUGGGCAUUUCAGGGAAUUGCCUCCUGAACAGGGCUCAACUCAAUUACUACCAUCAGAUGUGGAAGGAAAGACAGUUCAUCUCUAGCAUCUGAGGCUCCAAUACUCCUAUCUCCUUCAUCUAGAAAGGGGUCAGAUGAAAUGUUGGGCAAAUUCAAGACUUGGUAGCAAAAAUUCUAUUUCUUUUUGACUCUUAAAAACUUUUCAUUUAGGGGUUAGUAAUACAAGCAUAUUAACCCUUCACAUUUCAGAAAGAAUAGAAAAUACCAAAGUAAAAUAAAAGAAAUAGUUUGCUUCAGGAGACUCAUAAGAGUUUAAAAAACCAACAAGGUAAAGGAUCUUAAAAAUUAUAAAUUAGUGGUCUAAGCCCCAGAGAAACUUCUGUAUGAUCAGAACAUCUUAAGUGUUGUGUGAGGAACACAUUUCUGUUGAUAUCAUACUAUGAUUACCAUAAUUAUAGUUAUUAUUAAAAAUCAUUAUUAUUUUUUUAUUAUCAUCAUCAUCAAACUCAUCUCUCAUGUUCCUGGAUUUUGAGCUAGGUCUAUUUAUUGCCUUCCUUUAUGGUUUGUUUUAUACCUGUGUCCCCAUCCCUUUCCCCUCAUUAUUUACAAUUUCUUCCAAUUUCACUUUAAUGACUGGACAAACACGUUUCUGUUUGUUUGGUUUCCUCCCCACCCCCAACAGGAAAGGAAAAACAAGAUGCUUCGGAAGGAAAUGGAGAUGCUAUGGAACAAGGUGUGCCUCUAAGGAUCUCUUGAUAGAAUUGUCUUACAGACCCUAAUGCAAAGAACUUCCCUCUCCUCUGGUCCCCAUUCUCAUUUUGUCACGUCCCGGCUUCCAUCCUUGCCUCCUUCCAAUCCAUCCUUCGCACAGCAGCCAGAGUGAUAUUUUUGAAAUAAUCAAAUCACGUCGUUAUUCUUAUGGAAACCAUUUAUAGCUGCUCCUUAUUGUGGCAUAAUGUGGCUGUUGCCUGCCUCUCUCUUCUCAUAGAAGUCUUCCCCUUACUUUCUAUGCAACCCACACGGGCCUCCUUAUGGAUUCUCAAACAUGCCCAGACUCUUCCUAUCUCAAGGCUUUUGCUUUACCCUGGCCUAUAAUACUAUUUCUUUUGGUUGGCUCAUAUUCAUGCUUCAGGUCUCUGCUUAAAUGUCACCUCCUCAGAGAGGUCCUCCUUGUUCACUCUAUCUAAAAUAGGGCACCCCGGGGCGCCUAGGUGGCUCGGUCGGUUGGGGGUCCGACUUUGGCUCAGGUCAUGAUCUCGUGGUCCCUGAGUUCCAGCCCUGUGUUGGGCUCUGUGCUGACAGCUUGGAGCCUGGAGCCUGCUUCAGAUUCUGUGUCUCCCUCUCUCUCUCUGGCCCAUCCUCCCUCUCUCUCUCUCUCUCAAAAAUAAAUAAAUGUUAAAAAAAUUUUUUUGGGGGGGGCGCCUGGGUGGCGCAGUCGGUUAAGCGUCCGACUUCAGCCAGGUCACGAUCUCGCGGUCCGUGAGUUCGAGCCCCGCGUCGGGCUCUGGGCUGAUGGCUCAGAGCCUGGAGCCUGUUUCCGAUUCUGUGUCUUCCUCUCUCUCUGCCCCUCGCCCGUUCAUGCUCUAUCUCUCUGUCCCCAAAAUAAAUAAACGUUGAAAAAAAAUUUUUAAUUAAAAAAAAAAUUUUUUUUAAUAAAUAAAAUAGGGCACCCCUUCCUCACUUUCUAUUAUAUAACUCUAUUCAUGUCCUCCAUAACACUUUUUAUAAUUAAACUUAUUAUUUUUAUUUUAUUAUUAUUAUUAUUAAUUAUGAUUAUACUUGUUUCUUAUCUCCCUGACCCCCUCUGGAAUACAAGCUCCUCCAGUUUCUUGACUGCUUUGUUCAUCUCUGAAUCCUUAGCAUGUAGCACAAUGCUUAGAACAUAGUAGACAAUAAAUGUAAGUUGGAUGAAUGAAUGAAUAAAUACCUAAUUCUAAUUCUCCUAUGAUUUUGCAACAAUCACGGCAUUGCCUAAUAUAUAAUAGUAGGGCCUUUUGCUGGGAAACCAGGUGGGAGUGGAUGUUCCUUUGUAGUCUAAGUUGUUGGGAUUUGAGUGCUUUUUCACAGACUAGAAGACUAGAAGAAUAGAUUGUGUCUUGUGAUAUAAACAGUGUGUAGUGUGAUCUCUGACUGCUUUUUUCAUAUUAACUUUCCACAAAUAAUCAGGAUACCAUCAAGUCUUGCAUCUUGACCUGAGAUCUGCUCCUACUUCUCAGAGGUAGCUACAAAUCAGUUCUGUGAAUUGUCAGUUUUAGUUCUUCUGUUUUUGAGUCCUAGUGAUAAGAACUAUGCCAGCACAAUUUGUCUAUGAAAAUCCAGCUUCUUCAAAGCUCCCAAAAGAUUUUAAAAGGGAUGUCCCUGUAUGUUAGCUUGUGAUUGGCUUUCCCUACCCAUAGGGAGAGAGAAAAACAGUAUGGUCAGGGGUUAAGAACAUAAGCUUCAGGGUUCACAAGAUCUGCUUCAAAUUCCAGCUCUGUACUUUUGUAGCUGUGUGACCCUAAACAAAUGACUUAGCCUCUUCAAAUAUCUUUUCCUCAUUGGAAAAGAUGGAAGUAAAAAUAGUCCUGUGAGGCUUAAAUGAGAAUGUUUGUAAUGUAGUAGCAUAUUGUAAAUAAGUAAAGAAAUGUGCAAGUAGCUUACAGUACUUAUGGCUUAUAAUAAGGGUACAGUUAAUAGUUUUUAUUGUUAUAAGUUACACUAAAGACACCAAAUAGAAGGACUUGUUCCAUUCUGAACCCCAUUUGGUAGUACACUUUUCUGGUCGAACCCUGACAGUUUCCUGACUGGCAGAAACCAAAAAACCUUGACUUAUAUUGGUUUUCCACUUCCCUCACUAAUUCCCACUAAUUUAAAGCUUUGCCAAAACGUCUCUCUACAGACAUUCGACACAGAAGAACUUGGUGAUCAACAAAAAGCACCGCAGAUAAAAAACAAAGCAGACUUGCAGGAGGGGAAGGCAAGUGGACUACAUGUUACUUAGAAUUUCAGGGUUGUUGAUGCCACACUGCUGGAAACAGCCUGUUGACAAUCAGGGCUAAUUUGGGCAGGCAAAUAGGCGGGAUCUGGGCCUUGAGCAUAUGUGUGUUGGAUUUACUGUUGGCUGAGACAUUGUACUUCUUUCCCGGGACCUUCUCUUCCUUUAGCUCUCUUCUUUUAUCCAAGGUUCCCAAAACCCCCUCCUCACCUAGGAAGACCAAGAAUGAACUGGAGACAUCAUGUGCAGAGAAAGUGAAAGAGAAAAAGAAGGUAGUGUGAUCUUUCUGAAUGGUAGGGGCUUUUAGAGGUGAUAGAAUGGAAAUUUUUAAUAAUGUAUUAGUAUGCUCCUGAAACUGAUACAAGUUUUAUAGGAGAUGUGGUUCCUUUGGGAUAUUAUAUUUGAAUCAGAGUGGCAUUGCAAGUUUAGGGGAAAUAACGUUGACGAGGGCAAAGUGGGAGAAACUAUACCAACAAUGUAACUCCACAAUAACUAUGUGAUGUCAAAAUAAUAGCUAAUUUGUUUUUGAACAUUUAUUUAGGGAUAUUAUGCUUGUAUCUAAUCUUCUCACAACAAAUUUAUUCAUAAAAAUUGAUUCUAUUCAUUUAGCUUUUAGCUUUUAGAGCAUGGAUUGUACCGAUGAGGGCUACUAGAAGGACUGUGCAGUUGAAACCAAUCUGUUAGUGAAUCUAUGACAGCAUACUUUGGCUAUGAAGUCUUUGCAGCAUUUUGAGAACGUUGAUUUCUGAUCUCAAUUUAUUUUGUCACCCAGAAGCUCUUUCUUCCACCAGGAAAAGCCACAGAGGAAAAUGGAAUGGGUCAGGUAUCAGGAACAAGCCAACAUCCUUCAGGUACUAAGAUCUUCCAAGGUUGGACAUGGGAUACAGUUUCACUCAAAUAAUACAACAUCUUUUAGUUUCAUAAUAGUAAUCCCUAUGCCCUCCUCUGGAUUACCAAUUAUCCUGCUAAAAGAAAUGUUCCAUGGCGAGAUUGCUGUGGAAACCUAUCUCCAGCUUCACCUUGAAUAACCUAAGAUAAAUACAUUUUUUUUCCUUUAGUCUUGAUUUUGUUCUAUUUGAAAUGGGGGUGGGGGGAAUCACAAAUACUUUCUGCCCAACUUUAAAGACUGAGCAUGAUGGGAUCAUUUUAAACUUCUGAGUAAAAAGGUUUCAAGUAACAGGUGGUUUAGAGAAGCCAAUACUAUAUGUGUAGCUCUGAAAAAUGUUCUCCUGUAGAAUGGCUUUAAUGGCAAAAUGAUUGAGUUGAGAAUUGAAGCCUUGAAGAACUACCAGAAGGCCAAUGACCUGAAAUUAUCACUGAACUUACAGCAGAAUUUGGAGCCAAAGCAAGCAUAUUUUAAUCUUCCUGGGUCUCGAGGUAGGUAAAGUAUCGGUAUACAUGUGGAGGUUUUAUUUUAUGUUACAUUGAAAAUUCCAUUCCUUGCAAAGUGAUUACCACAAUGCCUGGCACACAGUAAAUUAAAUGUUAGUAGUGACAUAAUAAGUUUUAUAACUAUCAUUAUUAUUUCUCAGAAGCUCUGGUAAAGUAAGGAUUCCUCUGGAGAAAAUGAAUUUUCUUUUGUAAAGACUAAAUUACAUAUUAUGUACUUAGUAUAUGUAGUUGAUACAUAGUUGACACCUGAUAACAUUAGUUUCCUCCCCACUUCCUCCAUUUUCCUAGGAAUUAUUGUAGUUUGAUCUCAUGAAUCUUGUUGGAAUAGACUCUGCUAUUUCAGAACAGAAGGCCAAAGAGAUAGCCAUCUGACAAUGGGUGUGAGUUUUGCCAAUCCAGAUUUUUCUCUGAGAUUUUCAGUGUUUCCUCCCCCCUCCCAAAGAAUUUAUGGCAUCAUUAGAGAAAACAGUAACUGAUUUUACCAUAAAAAAAAAAAAAGAAAAGAAAAAAGAAAAGAAUGGGGGCGGCUGGGUGGCUCAGUCAGUUAAGUGUCCAACUUCGGCUCCAGUCAUGAUCUCAUGGUUUGUGAGUUCAAGCCCCGUGUUGGGCUCUGUCCUGACAGCUCAGAGCCUGGAGCCUGCUUCAGAUUCUGUGUCUCCCUCUCAAUCUCUCUACCCCUCCCCUGCUCGUGCUCUGUCUCUCUCUCUCAAAAGGGAAUACACUUAAAAAAAUUUUUUUAGGGGCGCCUGGGUGGCGCAGUCGGUUAAGCGUCCGACUUCAGCCAGGUCACGAUCUCGCGGUCCGUGAGUUCGAGCCCCGCGUCAGGCUCUGGGCUGAUGGCUCGGAGCCUGGAGCCUGUUUCCGAUUCUGUGUCUCCCUCUCUCUCUGCCCCUCCCCUGUUCAUGCUCUGUCUCUCUCUGUCCCAAAAAUAAAUAAAAAACGUUGAAAAAAAUUUUUUAAUAAAAAUAAAAGAAUAGCUUCUGAGGGACAGGAGAAAAGGUUCUUAAAUUUUCAGGGAUCUAUGAAUCUGAACUCUAUUUUUUAAUUUAAAUUAUUUUUAUAAUUUAAAUUAUAUAUUUUUUAAUUAAUUACGUAUAACAUGUAAUAUAUACAAAAGAACUUACGGAAUAUAUGUAAUUGUGAAACAAGAUAAUAAAAUUACCCCCCAUGAAUAUACCAGUCUACUUAAGAAUGGGAAAAUACUUAGUACAGAUGCUCCUGUGUGGAAUCUGAAUUCUAUUUUAAAAAAGACACAUGCAGUGAGAAAUCAUGGUUAGGGGAUGACAAUGUUUUAUUAGUAUUGGUAUCAGUAUGUAUAUCUCUAAUUUCUUCUCAAUCUUAUUCUAUUAAGGGCUUGAACAGCUAAUAAAAUCACACAGAGCAUAUAAGAUUAAAUAAAUAUAUGAGUAAAUCAAAUCAAAGAGAAAAUAAGUUGAAGCCAGGUAAAUACAUGAAAAUACAUGAUGAAAGUAUUAUAUAUAGUUUGUAGAAGCAGGCUUCAAACUUGGUUCUGGAUUUCCUAGAAAAAGAAACAUGGGUUUACAUUGUCCACAAAAUAAUAAUAAACCAAUUGCUCAGGAGAAAUAUGGAUUUUACUAGUACUGAGACCAGAGAGAAAUUUCUCUUCCAUGGAGAUGGGAUACUCUACAUAUGUUAUAGUAGCUAAUGUCUUCAACAAUAUUUCUAAGGUGAAUUCAGAAUCUAAAUUUCCUAGCCUGUUUCUUAUCUUUGUUGGCACAAUAUAAUAAAAAAAUUAUCAGUCUGAAAUUUUUAAAAAGCAAUGGGUCAGUUCAAGAUGAUUUGGUCCAUGUGCACAGCACACUAUUAGUCUGACUUGGCCCAUAGAUAAAAUUUACAAAAUCUAGAUGGCUGGAUCUACUACCCAUCCUUUAACCCGUGUUCUACUUAUAUUUUUUCUUUUAACUAUUGCUUGAUAAGAAUUGGAAACAGAAAGCUUGAGAUUUUCUUCUCCAAUAAGAACCUAGAAUACAAUCAGAAGCAAUAUAAAGUCAUCAAGGUAUAAAUUUAAAAGAUGGAGGAGAAGAGGGUAUGAGAAGGACAGAUUCUUGUUUUACUUUAAAAUUAGCUGAAGGUCAUUUCAAAGGAUCUUAGAGUAAGGAGUUUAAAAUCUUUUAGCUCCAGAUUCAAAUCAAGUCAAGAUUAGUAAAUAGUGAAGGGUUCCAUUUGAUUCAAUCACCCUAUGGAGAUUAUUUUUUUUUCCUUCCUUCCUUGCAGAACGUUGAAUCUUUGAACUUUGGACUAGGGCAGCCCACAGAUUGUACCCUCUUUUCUCUUAUCUCCUCUUUAUGCUUUUGGAGAAUUAAGUGAUAGGGCACUAAAUUUCCAGUUACCACAAAUGAAAGUAGCUACAGGCAUGUGUGACCCAUUACUGCUCUGUCUUACUGAUUGUGCAUUCACUGAACACUGAUUAUAGGCCAGUUUCAUUUUCUAACACCCACAUAACACAAAAUCUUUGGGUUUAUUUGAGCCUAGGGGAUCUGAAAUCUGAGUCCUAGAUUUUGCUUAUGUUGACUUAUUUGUUUGAUUAUUGAAAAAAGAACAAAAGAAGCAUUAGUUUUCUUCAUAGAGGGAUUUUUAAAGUAAUUAUGUUAAGAUAACAUUAUCAACAGUGUUGUGAUACGGUUUAGUCAUGCUCAGUGUUUCCCAAAUUCCCUUAGUCUAUUUUUUAUUCAGUAUGUUCUGUUUAGAUUGACUUCCUUAAUUUCCUAAUGCAUUCCUGGAAAAUAAAGUUAAUAUUACUGUUUUAUUAUUUUUUUAAGUUUAUUUAUUUAAGAGAGUGCACGCAUGCAUAGAGUGGAGGAGGCAGGGAAGGGAGAGGGGAAAGGGGAGUGACAGAGAAAGAAUCCCAAGCAGACUCUUCGCUGCCAGCACGGAACCUGGCCCUACACCGAAACUACAAGCCACAAGUUUAUGACCUGAGCUGUAAGUCAAGAGUCCGAGGCUCAACCUACUGAACCAUCUAAGCGCCCCAAAAUUCCUAUUUUAAGUGGAAAACCAAUAAUAGUUUUCCAUAAUAGAAAGUAAACUUAAUAAGUAUACUGAAAACAAGAUUUUAAUGUUCUAACCAGAUGCUAAAGCCUGAGGUCCAUUUUAUCUUUAUUAGGAAGUGAGAUUAGCAUGGUGUAGGGAGUUUUAAAGCAAACCUGCACCAAACUGAAAAUUUCUCCUUGAUGCAAUCGAGUUUGAAGAACUGAAAAGGGAGUAAUUUUUUCACUGUGAUUUAUAUAGUAUUUAAUGCUGUGUUCUAGCACCUCCUAAAUUUAUUUCAGUUGCCACUCAAAAUCAUCCCACCAUCAAAUUUCUGGAAACAGUACUUUAAUAGAAAAGCUCUGGUUUUACACUCAGAUAUAUGAGCCACAGGCCUUAUUCUGAGGCUAAACAGUUAAAUAACCCAGGCAAGUCAUUUAGUUUCAGUUUUUUCUUUGCCUAAGACAGUCAAAACAUAUUAUAGAGCAUAUUGAAAACAUGUGGUUUUGGGUAAUGCUCACAAUAACUCUCUAGGGUAGGUAUCAUAGGACAAAAAACUAGUCGAGAAAAGCCAGGCUUCUGACUCCAUCUCCAAAGUUCAUCUCCUAAAAUGUGCAGAAAAUGCCAGUGUUAAAGCAUAUGAUAUCUCAUGACCCUUCCACAUCUAAAAGGUAUGAUUUAAAUCUGAACUUAUCAACUUUUUAAUAUGUAAUUGUCCCAAUGAAGACUCAUACUCCCUAAGGGUAAUUUGUUUAGUAGUAAAGGAAACAGUUCAAAAUAGGUUCACAGUUUGUAAUUCUUCAUUUAACCCAGUAGGUGGCACCAAUCACAUCCAGGCUUCUAGUCCACAAAUAGUGGUAAUUCAGGAAACCUGAAAUAUCGUCAGAGAGAUUGGCCUUCUAUUACUCUUAGGACAAAAUGUGCUACAUUUAUAUAUCAAAUGAAAAAAAAAAACUAUUGAUGUUUUCUUCCAUGCUCUGCACUGAGGUGUAUUACUGGCAGCCUUGAUUAGACCUUAAUAAACUCCAUAUUCUGCUGUGCAAUCCUUACCUAUUAUUCUAUGCCUUGAACUAGAGUUCCCUCCAUUCCAAAUACAUCCACUGUCCACUUCCUCCACAAUCCCUAUCUAAUACUGUUUCUUUCCACCACGGAAAAGUCAGGUAAUUGGGACACUGAAUUAUAAAAUGAGUUGGGCAAUUGUACACGGUGUUGAUUUUUUGAAGUUUAAGUCCUUAAUACUGUUCCUAGAUACAGUUCAUUUUCCUCUAAUUUCAAAAGAAUUGAAUUUCACAAACCUGUCUUAAAGGAUGAAGUGUCAUUUUGGAUACACCUCCCAGCAAAUCAGGGUAUAGGCCCUUCUGUUCUAGGCAUUUCCAAAUAGAAAAAAGGUUUCUCCCACUACUCUUGGCCAAGAAUCCCUCCUCCCACAUAAACUGUCCUGUGUGCUGGUUGGCUGUGUUGCAGUGGUGUGAUCUAUUUGGUUGGCAAGAUACAAUCUUGUGUUAAUAUUAGUUUGUUGUACUUUACGCAAUCCAUACUUGCAAACCCUCUUGAGGCCCUGGUUAUAUAUAGCAUUACCUUUGUCAAUCUAAUCUGUUUGGCAUUCCGCCUCGCCUAGGCUUAUAGAAGAGAAAAACAUUUUAGACCGAGUGAAGUCCUUAUGGACAUGGGUCACAUGUAAAGGGAUUUGCUUUCCCACCAGUGUAAAAUUACAAUUUGACCCAGGCUAUGGAACAGUCCUUCCCCAGCCUCUGUAGAGUCAAGAGAACAGUUCGUGGUCUUUGGCAGCCAUGUAUCUUAGAGAGCACAGGCAUGAAAUAAUCUUUCAAUUCAGCUGACUUUUCCAUCAUGCCUGCUGGUAGUUUAAAGAGGAAGUUUAUCUUCGGCAAUAAUAUAACUGACGAUAAGACAUUUGAUUCUGACAGACUUCUUUUCUCUCCUCCCCUCCACCUCCUCUCCCCACUGAACUCAUACUCUUGGCAUUUCCUUGAGUUCUUUUGAGAAGAGGCUGAAGGUUGGAUGUGAAUAUUUUGCUACACUUAUAAUUUCAGAUGAAAGCCCAGUGAGGUGGGAAAUGAAUACUCUUGAGACCUUAUUUAUUCUAUAACUCUCUCUGUUCUUAAAGCAAGUCAUUCUUCCUGGCUUUAACCUUUACUUCACUUUAGUAUUACUCUUCCUGAUGGCUGACAUAUACUCCAGUAAGUGCUGCCAAAUAAUGUUAAGCUAAAAUGCUGGAAAACAGAGUCAGAAACCCACAGCUCAAAUCUGGAUCCUUGAUAAAUAUGUUUUUAGGUUUGUUUAUUUAUUUUAAGAAAGAGAGCGCAAGCAAGGUAGAGGCAGAGAGAGAGGGAUAUAGAGAGAAUUCCAAGCAGGCUCCAUGCUGUGAGUGCAGAACCUGACAUUGGGCUCGAACUCAGGAGCCAUGAGAUAUUGACUGAGCCAACCUCAAAAGUCGGAAGGAAGCUUAACCAACUGAGCCAACCAGGCACCCCUAAAUAUGGGCUUUUUAAAGCUUUGAGGCAACUUGAACCUUUUGUGGAUUUUGUUAUUUUACUUUAUUUUAUUUUGUUUUGUUUUGUUUUGUUUUAUAGAGAGGACUCACACAAGUGGGGGAGAGGGGCAGAGGUAGAGUGAGAGAGAGAAUCUUAAGUAGGCUACAUGCUCAGCAUGAGCCCAACUCAGGGCUCAAUCCUAUGACCCUGGGAUCAUGACCUGAGCCAAAAUCAAGGGUCAGACAUUUAACUUACUGAGCCACCCAGGCAACCCAACUCGAACUUUGAAUGUCAGAGUUAGGUUUCUGUUAUAGUAGUACUACAUAGUAGUUACUAUAGUUACUACUACUACCUAUAGUAGGUUAUGAAGUUAAUUUUGAAUCGAAGUCAUUUUUUCACUUCCUAUAAAACCCCACAGAAGUCCAGGGGAGAAUAAAAUUCUUCCUUCCUAAAAAUAAAUUUUGAAGGUUGAAAAAAAUAAACUGUACCUUUUUUAAUAUUAUGAUUAUUUCAAUGAGUGACAAUAGCUUCCAAACUUUGUAAUAUCACACACUUACAAAACUCAGCAGGAUUAUUAGGAUAGGGUUGUCAUAUUUAGCAAAUAGAGGAUGUUCAGUUAAGUUUGAAUUGCAGAUAAAUAAUUAAUGUUUUAGUAUAAGCAUGUUCCAAAUAUUUCAUGGAAUGUGCUUAUACUAAAAAUAUUUAGUGUUUAUUGAAAUCCAAACUUAACUGGGUAUCCUGGCAACCCUAACCUAGGACAGACUCACUACAGAGCCUACUUAAAUGCCCCACAAUUCUCCUCCCCCCCCCCCGCUUUUUAUUGGCUCUCUUCUUCUUCAUCUCAGCCUAUGCCUGUCAUUCUGUCUGCCUCCUUUUUUUGUCCCCUUGCCCACCUUUAUCUUUUUGUUGUUCUCUACUGUCCACAGUUGGCCAUUUUUAUGGAAUAUGUAUCUGGGUUAUCUGAAAUAUAUAUAUAUAUAUAUAUAGAUAUAUAUAUAUAUAUAUAUAAAAUUUAUCAUCCCAUUUCUUCAUGUAAAAGUUAUAUUAAACAUAUGCUUUGUAGGCUCUCAAAAUUAUUUCUACUUGCAUAUAAUCCUCAAAUGAUUUUCUUCCCUCCGUGGGACAUGGGCCCUCAGCAGAGAAGGGUUUGCCACUUGAACUCUAAAAAUACUGUUUGAAGUUGUUUUCUAACACAAUUACAAAAUCCACAUUAAUGCUAAUGCCAGAGUCAUUCUACAGUGAUGCAAUGAUAUGUGAUGUGUGAUGAAUGUUAGUAGCCUUACAACUCAAAAUAAAACCAGGUUUUGUUUUGUUGGGUUUUUUUCCUCAAAGAAAGCUCCCAUUUUCCUAAUGUUUCCCACCAGGUACUGUGAACACUACAACUACCAGCAGAUUAACUACCAGCAAAAACGAAUCUAAUGUGGUAAGAACUACUUUCAUUUUCAAAAUUAUUUUAAAGGCUUGCAUAGAUAGUGGGUGUAGAUUUUUAGAAUUUAUUUGUUAAAGUACAUUCUAAUUUAAUAUUUUUAGGAGAUUUGUAAAGUGGGUGCCAGGGCACUUGAUGUUUUAAUUGUUUUUUGGAUUCCCCCCACCCCGCCCUUCUAUGUUGUAGAGAAUUCUGGGAUCAAAAACCUACACAGAACAACAAAGAGCUAAAGGAAAUCAGUUUGAUGAUGUAGGAGGGAGAUCUUUUUUCUGAGGUCACUGCCAGAUGAAGCUCUGAAGGAUUAGAAGGCUUUCACUCCUUUUGCUUUGGACAGAUUUAAAGACGAGGCACAGCCAUUUGUGUUAAUUAAAAUCUCUCAAACCUUU
Molecule: long non-coding RNA, 13477 nt
Filed under: Lynx pardinus (Iberian lynx)
Lineage: Eukaryota; Metazoa; Chordata; Mammalia; Carnivora; Felidae
Source: RNAcentral